UUUCUGCCCAGGUCCUGUUUUGGGUCCAAGUUUAUACUGCCCAGUUCGUUUCAGUGCCACAUACCAACUGGAGUAUUUCCUUGACCGGUUUAAGGUCAGGAGUCGAAAAGUAAAGAGUGAAAGGAAAAGUCAAGGUCAGCACUGAGCUUCAUGGGCUAAUUUCCCAGAAAUAGACCUAAACCACAUCAGUCAGUUAUCCUCAGGACGUUGAGGUUACUUGUACCUUUUUACACAGAGGGGAGAGAAGGAAGUUGUGCAUCUGUGCCGAACACUCAGACAUGUAAGUUUACUAAACAGCUGAUGUGCGCUUGAAAACAAACUGCAUUUUUUUCAUGGGUAGUAGAGCCAAAUUUCAGUCUCAAUAAAAGCAAGCUCUAACAUCCCGUUUUAAGCAAUUUUCAGUUCUCUCCAUCCUAAGUUUACACAUCAUCUUCAUUGGUUGUGAUGUCAAUAAUCCUGUUAAAAACUGAUGCAGUGUAAUUUUUUUAACCUUUAUAAACAUAUUCACAGAGCUUUUUUCCUAUACUCAAUGUUUAACUGCUCACCAUUUCAAACUUAAGAGAAAAGGAGAUCUCCAGAGGACAUCACAGAGGAAGUGGGCACUGGGAUACAUCAGUGAACAAAACUGAACAAAGAUCCCUGCCUUGGUGCUGGUCAAAUUCUCACUGGGGGAGACACAGAAUAAGCAUACUAUGAUUUUGCAGUUUUGGCUUAUGAGAGAGUUUGCUCAACAUUGAGUCCAAGAAUGCUUUUGCUUACACCGCUUCUGAGAAUUAAAAACAGACAUGAUGCUUGUCUCUUCCCAUUGUCACCUGAGUGAGGUCCCUGCUGACAUCCCCGGCUACAGUGUCUUUCAUCAUCAGUGAUAACAGUGGAACAGAUGCUAUUAAUAGCCAAGGGUCAAGACUUUUCAUUUCUUGCCUGAAAGUUGCUGUUGUUGACAGCUCAGUGCCUAUGGAUCUGACUCAGAGGAAAACAUGCCACUAACAAACACCACCACCUCCUUGGUUUGGGGGUUAAGUGUCCCUUGUUUUAGGGACACUUACUUUUUCAUCUGAAAAUUGACACAGCCCACCCAGACUAAUCUGAAAGAGGAUUGCUGCUGAAGAGGCAAGGCAGCAAGCCACACUAAUUGAAUGGAAUCAUCCAAUUUAAUGCUGAAGACCACGCACUGAAAACUUUUUAACGCAGACAACUGACAAAGGAGUGUACGUAACAAAAGAACCUCACUUGCUAAAAAUGAAAAACUUUACAUCUCCAUAUAUAUGUGGAAUACCAGAGAAGCCAAAAACCACACAUUCCAUUCUUCUCACAACUCAACUGGCUGGUUAAAGUUUAUAGAUAAGAAUAUUGGACACACACACACAGUUCUUUCAAAUUCUUAGCAACUCCUCGGUUUGCAGAGAAGGUUAAAGUUAAACAUAAUAUGAAAGAAAGAAAAAUAGGAAGGAAGAAAGGAAGGGAGGACCUUAGAAAUCCAUGAAUUCUUUCAUUACUACUCAAUCAGGACAUGGCUUUAUGAGUCCAUUAAAUCUUUCUCUGUAUCAAGCCUUAUAUCCACAAAGUAGAAAUUGUUUUCAUCGUGGGACUUAAGACUACCAAAGGUGACAAAAUAUUUAAAACAGUUUAAAUAAAAGUAAGUGUAAUAGGGGCUUCCCUGGUGGCACAGUGGUUAAGAAUCCGCCUGCCAAUGCAGGGGACACGGGUUUGAGCCCUGGUCCGUGAAGAUCCCACAUGCCGCGGGGCAGCUAAGCCCGUGCGCCACAACUAUGGAGCCUGCGCUCUAGAGCCCAUGAGCCACAACUACUGAAGCCCGCACGCCUAGAGCCCGUGCUCCACAACAAGAGCGAAGAGUAGCCCCAGCUCACCGCAACUAGAGAAAGCCUGCGCACAGCAACAAAGACCCAACGCAGACAAAUAAAUGAAUAAAAUUUUUUUUAAAAGUAAGUGUAAUAUAUGUCU
This is a long non-coding RNA of Physeter macrocephalus (sperm whale), 1962 nucleotides long. RefSeq lists it as uncharacterized. The record is from RefSeq and is a predicted model, not a curated record. The transcript is spliced from 8 exons. Lineage: Eukaryota; Metazoa; Chordata; Mammalia; Artiodactyla; Physeteridae.